Molecule: small nucleolar RNA, 106 nt
Organism: Sorex fumeus (smoky shrew)
Lineage: Eukaryota; Metazoa; Chordata; Mammalia; Eulipotyphla; Soricidae
Product: small nucleolar RNA U13
Exons: 1
Source: RefSeq, a predicted model, not a curated record
AUCUUUCUGUGAUCCUUAGGCGGGAUGAUUGGUUGUUAAUGUAUGUGUGUGGCACGUGCCUCCCUGGAACCUCUUUUACAAUUGCCGGCAUAUUGCCUGUCUGGUG